Molecule: long non-coding RNA, 1127 nt
Filed under: Trifolium pratense (red clover)
Lineage: Eukaryota; Viridiplantae; Streptophyta; Magnoliopsida; Fabales; Fabaceae
Description: long non-coding RNA (TPRA_LNC012702)
Source: RNAcentral
CUCUAUUCAUUCAAUACAAGGACUAACCCUUAUAUAGGAGUUUACAAGACUUAGCUUACAAGUCAAGCAAGCCAACUAACUCAUAAGCACAUAUUGAGCUCAAUCACACUAAGCAUAAAGAAGGGUAGAUUACACCUAACAUGGACAUCCAUAGUUGUUGAUAAACAUCACUAAUGUAGUAAAAGAAAGAAAGAAAGAAAGAAAGAAAAAGUACGUCCUAGAGUUACCCUCCUCUAAGGAUAUUAAGUUGCUUUACAAAGAAAUUACCAUUAUUAUUGCCCUUAAUUACACCUUGAUUAGCAAGAAUAUUUCCUCCCAUCACGAUUUGUCUAGGCAGUUGAAGAUAGUUACUUUCUUCAUCAUCAUUCUCCGUUUCGGUCUGAAAUUGUUGUAUGAGUUUGAGCAGCACAAUGAGGGCAUGCCGUCCACUUCCAAGUCCAUGUUCUAGAGAUUUGUUUAAACAUUUUAAACAAUGCAGAAGAAGGGUGUUCGGAAAGGCCAUUCCACGAAAGAUCUAAAGCAUUGUCUACCACUCUAAUAUCUACCGAUAUUGAAAGUCCAACAUCAUAUUUUUUUUGACGAAUAAAAUUUCGACGUUGACCAUUGAUAGCGUAGUAGUGUGCUACCGUCACUUCACAAGGCAUUUUAAAUCCGCUCUUUGUCUUCUGCUCCACCACAACAAGACUCCCCUCAUCUUCACUCCAAUUGUAUGCAACGUUCGUUUUUGUAACACCAUCCCACCGAUUCUUAGUCUCGUUAACAAAAUUAGUUCCGCGACAAAAGAGUCCGAAUGCAUCAGUAUUAAUUUGAUUAAGAAGAUUGUUUUCAGCUCUAUCUAUAACUAAACAAAUAAAUUCAGGUUUGAAGAAAUGAAAUUGUAAGCGCUUGACGAGACCAUCUCUGUCGUAUGUUGUCUCUAAGACGAAUCUGAUAUUUGAUCAACCUAUGUAAUAUGACAUAUACCAUGCCUCCAACUUUCCUUCUUCCAAGUAACGUUCUUGUUUACCACAUGUGAUAUCGACACUUGUUUUCACGUUGUUGAGAAGAUUAUUUCCCAUGUGAAUUUUGCUUAUAUUUUAUUUCGGAUGGAGCAUAUAUUUGCACAAGAACUUGCAUUAAUACUGAAC